This 459-nucleotide ribosomal RNA is filed under the name uncultured bacterium. RNAcentral's name for it is "partial 16S ribosomal RNA". It matches the Rfam family "Bacterial small subunit ribosomal RNA", at positions 338 to 795 of the family's 1533-position model. The record is from RNAcentral.
CCUACGGGUGGCAGCAGUGAGGAAUAUUGGUCAAUGGCCGAGAGUCUGAACCAGCCAAGUCGCGUGAGGGAAGAAGGCCCUACGGGUUGUAAACCUCUUUUGUCGGGGAGCAAAGCGAACCACGUGUGGUUCAUUGAGAGUACCCUCAGAAAAAGCAUCGGCUAACUCCGUGCCAGCAGCCACGGUAAUACUGAGGAUGCGAGCGUUAUCCGGGUUUAUUGGGUUGAACGGGUGCGCAGGCGGCGGUGCAAGUAAGCGGCCACAUUGCGGGGCUCAACCCCGUACUGCCGUUGAAACUGCAUCCCUUGAGUGCGCGAGAAGUAUGCGGAAUGCGUGGUGUAGCGGUGAAAUGCAUAGAUAUCACGCAGAACUCCGAUUGCGAAGGCAGCAUACCGGCGCGCAACUGACGCUCAUGCACGAAAGCGUGGGUAUCGAACAGGAUUAGAUACCCCAGUAGUC